UGUUCCAGGCUCAUCAACCAGUACGGGGACUCCCACCCCAACGACUCCAACCACCCCACCGAGGGAGACCACCUCCGUCACUGAGGGUCAGGGGGGAGGUGGGUCUGAAGGGCUUUCAGAUGGCGCCAUCGCAGGCAUCACCAUUGGUUCUAUUGCCGGUGUGGCCGCUGUUGGUGGUGGUAUCUUUGGAGUACUGAAGUACACUGGGAGAGUGUGAAAAGCAAGACUGCAUCUAUGAUUAUUUACAUUUUGAAAACUACUGCUACUAAUAAAAGAACACUUUUAAUUCCGUUAUUUUUCUUUUUGGAGUGAAAUAAAAAGGGCUAAUUGUAUGUGAACGUGUAUUUUUUUAAAUAAAUAAUCCUUACAAACGAA
Long non-coding RNA from Phyllopteryx taeniolatus (common seadragon), 375 nucleotides. RefSeq lists it as uncharacterized. The transcript is spliced from 2 exons. NCBI's taxonomy places the organism in Eukaryota, Metazoa, Chordata, Actinopteri, Syngnathiformes, Syngnathidae. The record is from RefSeq and is a predicted model, not a curated record.